RNAcentral lists this transfer RNA (101 nucleotides) under Delitschia confertaspora ATCC 74209. RNAcentral's name for it is "tRNA-Val". Lineage: Eukaryota; Fungi; Ascomycota; Dothideomycetes; Pleosporales; Delitschiaceae. The record is from RNAcentral.
GGCUGGGUGGUGUAGUUGGUUAUCACAUCUGUCUAACAGUCGGAGCUAAUAACUCUACUGUGGCGCACAGAAGGUCCCGAGUUCAAGUCUCGGCCGAGUCA